UUCGCAAUGCCCGAAAGGGUGACGAAGCGACGCCGCGUGGGUGAAGAAGGCCUUCGGGUUGUAAAGCCCUGUCAGGAGUUAUGAAAUGUAGGUGCGAUAAUACCGUGCCUAUUUGACAAAGGCUCCAAAGGAAGCCACGGCUAACUCUGUGCCAGCAGCCGCGGUAAUACAGAGGUGGCAAGCGUUGUUCGGGAUUAUUGGGCGUAAAGAGCACGUAGGUGGAUUUGUAAGUCAGGUGUGAAAGCCUUCUGUCCAACGGAAGAAUUGCAUCUGAAACUACAAACCUUGAGUGUAGGAGGGGAGGAUGGAACUUCUGGUGGAGCGGUGAAAUGCGUAGAUAUCAGAAGGAACGCCGGCGGCGAAAGCGAUUCUCUGGCCUAUUACUGACACUGAGUGUGCGAAAGCUAGGGGAGCAAACGGGACUAGAUACCCCGGUAGUCCUAGCCGUAAACGAUGGGCACUAAGUAGAGGGGUUUU
RNAcentral lists this ribosomal RNA (477 nucleotides) under Candidatus Scalindua marina (nom. nud.). RNAcentral's name for it is "bacterial SSU rRNA". It matches the Rfam family "Bacterial small subunit ribosomal RNA", at positions 365 to 832 of the family's 1533-position model. Lineage: Bacteria; Pseudomonadati; Planctomycetota; Candidatus Brocadiia; Candidatus Brocadiales; Candidatus Scalinduaceae. The record is from RNAcentral.